RNAcentral lists this ribosomal RNA (446 nucleotides) under uncultured bacterium. Its description in RNAcentral is "partial 16S ribosomal RNA". It matches the Rfam family "Bacterial small subunit ribosomal RNA", at positions 338 to 795 of the family's 1533-position model. The record is from RNAcentral.
CCUACGGGGGGCAGCAGUCGAGAAUCAUUCACAAUGGGGGAAACCCUGAUGGUGCGACGCCGCGUGGGGGAAUGAAGGUCUUCGGAUUGUAAACCCCUGUCAUGUGGGAGCAAAUUAAAAAGAUAGUACCACAAGAGGAAGAGACGGCUAACUCUGUUCCAGCAGCCGCGGUAAUACAGAGGUCUCAAGCGUUGUUCGGAAUCACUGGGCGUAAAGCGUGCGUAGGCUGUUUCGUAAGUCGUGUGUGAAAGGCGCGGGCUCAACCCGCGGACGGCACAUGAUACUGCGAGACUAGAGUAAGGGAGGGGGAACCGGAAUUCUCGGUGUAGCAGUGAAAUGCGUAGAUAUCGAGAGGAACACUCGUGGCGAAGGCGGGUUCCUGGACAUUAACUGACGCUGAGGCACGAAGGCCAGGGGAGCGAAAGGGAUUAGAUACCCCAGUAGUC